UAUAUAAAUAUCCUGGGAUAUUAUUUCUCUAGAUCUAUGUAACAAGCAUGUAGGUUAUAUAAGGGGAUAAGUAUCCCCGUUUAUUAUUUCUUUUUCAAAUCUGUCGAUUGUAAUUCCAUGUCUGAUUAUAAAUUUCAAUUUCAGUUUCAAUUCUAUGUCUUUAUAUUUAUGUAACUGUUCUAUUGAAAUCCAAUUUGGUUGAUCGAGUUCUCAUCAGAUUAGGGGAAAGAUUAAUUGAAUUUUAGUAACCAUGAUAUUAAAGAGAAGCAAUUUGACCACAUAUCAGAUAUCACUAUAAAAGAGACAAUGGUUGCAGAAGGAGAGACAGACAAAGACAGCGAGAGAAGCAAGUAU
Molecule: non-coding RNA, 354 nt
Organism: Arachis ipaensis
Lineage: Eukaryota; Viridiplantae; Streptophyta; Magnoliopsida; Fabales; Fabaceae
Source: RefSeq, a predicted model, not a curated record